Macaca nemestrina (pig-tailed macaque) is the source of this 73-nucleotide microRNA precursor. The record is from Ensembl. Lineage: Eukaryota; Metazoa; Chordata; Mammalia; Primates; Cercopithecidae.
UAGGCUGGUGCAAAAGUAAUUGUGGUUUUUGCAAUUUAAUCACAAAAACCGCAAUUACUUUUGCACUAACCUA